GACAGUUAGAGCACGAAUUGUAAGAGAAGGUAGUAAAUGUGAUAUAUCUUUAAUAACUGUUGUUAAAAUCAUCUCAAUCUUGGGAAAUAGGCCGCAACUUAAACUUAAUCUGUUUAAACACCUGUUAAACCUGGACAUUGUUAUUAGUUAAAUUCAUCAAUGUCAUCAUAUUGAAACCAUUUCUACACAAUUCUUUUAACAUGUUAUGACACUUAUCACUUACUAAUUUUGAUAGUUUUCAAACAGUUUAAUGCAGAUUAAUGCAGUAUAAAGCCUUAACAUGAUUUCAUACGUAGGAGCAUUGGUGUGGUGAAUAGAGACAUCAUGCACCCUGUUUGCUAAUCCACGACUGACCAAUCCUGGCUGUGACAGAUGUCGUUCAGCCGACAGCAGGUUGUGGCCUUAGAUUCCUGACACAGGAGGUUGUGACCUUAGAUUCCUGACACAGGAGGUUGUGGCCUUAGAUUCCUGACACAGCAGGUUGUGGCCUUAGAUUCCUGACACAGCAGGUUGUGGCCUUAGAUUCCUGACACAGGAGGUUGUGGCCUUAGAUUCCUGACACAGCAGGUUGUGGCCUUAGAUUCCUGACACAGCAGGUUGUGGCCUUAGAUUCCUGACACAGCAGGUUGUGGCCUUAGAUUCCUGACACAGCAGGUUGUGGCCUUAGAUUCCUGACACAGCAGGUUGUGGCCUUAGAUUCCUGACACAGCAGGUUGUGGCCUUAGAUUCCUGACACAGCAGGUUGUGGCCUUAGAUUCCUGACACAGGAGGUUGUGGCCUUAGAUUCCUGACACAGCAGGUUGUGGCCUUAGAUUCCUGACACAGCAGGUUGUGGCCUUAGAUUCCUGACACAGCAGGUUGUGGCCUUAGAUUCCUGACACAGCAGGUUGUGGCCUUAGAUU
Haliotis rubra (blacklip abalone) is the source of this 902-nucleotide long non-coding RNA. RefSeq lists it as uncharacterized. The transcript is spliced from 3 exons. The record is from RefSeq and is a predicted model, not a curated record. NCBI's taxonomy places the organism in Eukaryota, Metazoa, Mollusca, Gastropoda, Lepetellida, Haliotidae.